RNAcentral lists this ribosomal RNA (798 nucleotides) under Acinetobacter junii. Its description in RNAcentral is "bacterial SSU rRNA". It matches the Rfam family "Bacterial small subunit ribosomal RNA", at positions 657 to 1456 of the family's 1533-position model. Lineage: Bacteria; Pseudomonadati; Pseudomonadota; Gammaproteobacteria; Moraxellales; Moraxellaceae. The record is from RNAcentral. RNAcentral also lists the same sequence under 1 other name.
GAUGGUAGAAUUCCAGGUGUAGCGGUGAAAUGCGUAGAGAUCUGGAGGAAUACCGAUGGCGAAGGCAGCCAUCUGGCCUAAUACUGACACUGAGGUGCGAAAGCAUGGGGAGCAAACAGGAUUAGAUACCCUGGUAGUCCAUGCCGUAAACGAUGUCUACUAGCCGUUGGGGGAUUUGAUCCUUUAGUGGCGCAGCUAACGCGAUAAGUAGACCGCCUGGGGAGUACGGUCGCAAGACUAAAACUCAAAUGAAUUGACGGGGGCCCGCACAAGCGGUGGAGCAUGUGGUUUAAUUCGAUGCAACGCGAAGAACCUUACCUGGCCUUGACAUAGUAGAGACUUUCCAGAGAUGGAUUGGUGCCUUCGGGAAUCUACAUACAGGUGCUGCAUGGCUGUCGUCAGCUCGUGUCGUGAGAUGUUGGGUUAAGUCCCGCAACGAGCGCAACCCUUUUCCUUACUUGCCAGCAUUUCGGAUGGGAACUUUAAGGAUACUGCCAGUGACAAACUGGAGGAAGGCGGGGACGACGUCAAGUCAUCAUGGCCCUUACGGCCAGGGCUACACACGUGCUACAAUGGUCGGUACAAAGGGUUGCUACACAGCGAUGUGAUGCUAAUCUCAAAAAGCCGAUCGUAGUCCGGAUCGCAGUCUGCAACUCGACUGCGUGAAGUCGGAAUCGCUAGUAAUCGCGGAUCAGAAUGCCGCGGUGAAUACGUUCCCGGGCCUUGUACACACCGCCCGUCACACCAUGGGAGUUUGUUGCACCAGAAGUACUAGUCUAACCGCAAGGAGGACGCUUA